CCAAUUACAUAGUUUUAAAAUUUCCAUACAUAUAGAAUUAUUACAAAACUUAUAUAUACAUCAUACUUUCUUAUUACAAUGACCAAUUCUUACAAUUUAACAAAGAACCUCUAUUAAAGUAUUCUAUCAAAUACAUAAUGGGCAUUCUUUGCAUGCCCAGAUUUCAUAACCUUUACUUUAAGGUCAACCAAAAUUUCUUAUGGAAAUCAUUCACUAUAGUUGCUGAUCAUAUAAUCACCAAACAACCCAACCAAUAUUUCACAAUUAAAUUACAGAAGUUAAACUACUUUUAUUUAUGAACUUAAACAUAUCAAAAUAGAUGAAUACCUCUUGAGCUUUGAUUCUUGCUUAAUCCUUGAUUUAAUUCUUCUUAAAUCAUCAGUUCUUUUAUGAAUUAUCAGAAUUUCCAACGCUUUCUUCCAACUUUUCAUUGCAAACACAUUCCUCUCUCUCUCUCUCUCUAUAUAUAUUUCUUACACUUGCAAUUGAGAUGUAUGAAGAAUAGCCAAAUGAGAUAUAUCAGUAUAAAUUCCUGAGCGUUUUGGGAGAGGAAAGAUAUGAGAAAUUGAGAGCUCUGAUACGUUACUUUGCUCAAGAGCUUGGCUUACCUGUAGUCUCUUCCUCUCUUUCCUUAUUGACUCAAAA
RNAcentral lists this long non-coding RNA (645 nucleotides) under Panax ginseng (ginseng). Its description in RNAcentral is "long non-coding RNA (PGIN_LNC005684)". The record is from RNAcentral. Lineage: Eukaryota; Viridiplantae; Streptophyta; Magnoliopsida; Apiales; Araliaceae.